This 375-nucleotide ribosomal RNA is filed under the name uncultured eukaryote. RNAcentral describes it as "partial 18S ribosomal RNA". It matches the Rfam family "Eukaryotic small subunit ribosomal RNA", at positions 592 to 976 of the family's 1831-position model. The record is from RNAcentral.
CAAUAGCGUAUAUUUAAGUUGUUGCAGUUAAAAAGCUCGUAGUUGGAUUUCGGUUAAGAGCGACCGGUCCGCCGUUUGGUGUGCACUGGUUGGUUUUAACUUCCUGUAGAGGACGUGCUCUGGGUUUAACGACCUGGACUCGGAGUCUACGUGGUUACUUUGAAAAAAUUAGAGUGUUCAAAGCGGGCUUACGCUUGAAUAUUUCAGCAUGGAAUAACACUAUAGGACUCCUGUCCUAUUUCGUUGGUCUCGGGACGGGAGUAAUGAUUAAGAGGAACAGUUGGGGGCAUUCGUAUUUCAUUGUCAGAGGUGAAAUUCUUGGAUUUAUGAAAGACGAACUUCUGCGAAAGCAUUUGCCAAGGAUGUUUNCAUUAA